UACGAAGGGGGCUAGCGUUGCUCGGAAUUACUGGGCGUAAAGCGCACGUAGGCGGAUUCUUAAGUCGGUGGUGAAAUCCUGGAGCUCAACUCCAGAACUGCCUUCGAUACUGAGAGUCUUGAGUCCGGGAGAGGUGAGUGGAACUGCGAGUGUAGAGGUGAAAUUCGUAGAUAUUCGCAAGAACACCAGUGGCGAAGGCGGCUCACUGGCCCGGUACUGACGCUGAGGUGCGAAAGCGUGGGGAGCAAACAGG
Molecule: ribosomal RNA, 253 nt
Filed under: uncultured bacterium
Lineage: Bacteria
Description: partial 16S ribosomal RNA
Rfam family: Bacterial small subunit ribosomal RNA
Source: RNAcentral